CAUGCAAGUCGAGGGGCAGCGGGGAGGUAGCAAUACCUUUGCCGGCGACCGGCGCACGGGUGAGUAACACGUAUGCAAUCCACCUGUAACAGGGGGAUAACCCGGAGAAAUCCGGACUAAUACCCCAUAAUAUGGGCGCUCCGCAUGGAGAGUUCAUUAAAGAGAGCAAUUUUGGUUACAGACGAGCAUGCGCUCCAUUAGCCAGUUGGCGGGGUAACGGCCCACCAAAGCGACGAUGGAUAGGGGUUCUGAGAGGAAGGUCCCCCACAUUGGAACUGAGACACGGUCCAAACUCCUACGGGAGGCAGCAGUGAGGAAUAUUGGUCAAUGGUCGGCAGACUGAACCAGCCAAGUCGCGUGAGGGAAGACGGCCCUACGGGUUGUAAACCUCUUUUGUCGGAGAGUAAAGUACGCUACGCGUAGCGUAUUGCAAGUAUCCGAAGAAAAAGCAUCGGCUAACUCCGUGCCAGCAGCCGCGGUAAUACGGAGGAUGCGAGCGUUAUCCGGAUUUAUUGGGUUUAAAGGGUGCGUAGGCGGCACGCCAAGUCAGCGGUGAAAUUUCCGGGCUCAACCCGGAGUGUGCCGUUGAAACUGGCGAGCUAGAGUGCACAAGAGGCAGGCGGAAUGCGUGGUGUAGCGGUGAAAUGCAUAGAUAUCACGCAGAACCCCGAUUGCGAAGGCAGCCUGCUAGGGUGCGACAGACGCUGAGGCACGAAAGCGUGGGUAUCGAACAGGAUUAGAUACCCUGGUAGUCCACGCAGUAAACGAUGAAUACUAACUGUUUGCGAUACAAUGUAAGCGGUACAGCGAAAGCGUUAAGUAUUCCACCUGGGGAGUACGCCGGCAACGGUGAAACUCAAAGGAAUUGACGGGGGCCCGCACAAGCGGAGGAACAUGUGG
RNAcentral lists this ribosomal RNA (900 nucleotides) under uncultured bacterium. RNAcentral's name for it is "bacterial SSU rRNA". It matches the Rfam family "Bacterial small subunit ribosomal RNA", at positions 54 to 944 of the family's 1533-position model. The record is from RNAcentral.